AUGGCCGACGCCCAGCCGAAUUUCGGUGGCCUGGUCGUCGACCUGCCCGGAAAGGUGAAGAAGAAGGCGGCCAAGGCGCCAAGGAAGCCGUGGUCGGAGUGCACGCCAGAGGAGAUCGCCAAGUUGGACGCGGAAUCAGCGAAGAGGAGGGGCCAGAGAGCGGCCAUCAAGGUCAAUGCCGCCGCGGCCAAGUACGCCGCCGAGCGUGAUGCGAUGGAGGCCGUGCGGCGCAAGGCCGUGGUCGACAAGAAGGAGGACAUCGUCAACAAAGCGCACACCCUCCUCAUGCUUGGCAUGUGCCGUCCGGCUGGCAUGGGUGCCGCUUGCCCGCUGGGCCGCUGGCUGUGUGCCGACGAGAAAAACAUUCGUUUUGGAGGCCGGCUAUCUUGCCCGCCACUGGCUGUGUUGCCGGUGAGGACAACUAUUCAUUUUGGAGGCUUGCUAUGUUGUCGACCACUGGCUGUGUUGCCGACGAUGGACGUGUGGGCCACUAGCUCUGUUGCCGGCGGUCUGACGAUCCCCCCAUCCUCUAUUGUACCCCCGUCCUUGAAGUUUGAAGAGUUCUGGCUGCGACUACCCGGCUUCAAGGAAACGGCUCUCAAGAAAUGGCAAAGAGAUACAGUCAGAGUCCUCAAUUCUCAGAUUGGCAUAGCAAAGGAUGUAAUCUUGAGGCUUGACCUAGCCGAGGAGGGGAGGUCCCUCUCCCCAGCAGAGCUGGAGCUCAGAUGCAAGCUUAAGCUUUCUUAUCUCGGCCUCCUAUCCUUCCGGAAGGUUAAGCUACGCCAGCGCGCACGACUCACGGGUACCAGGCUGGGCGAUGUCAACUCUAAGUUUUUCCAUGCCAAGGUAAAUGGAUGCCGGCGGAAAAACUACAUCCAAACGCUGCACUCGGACCACGGUGUUGCCAUCACGGCAGAAGAUAAGGAGCAAGUGAUCCUUGCCCACUUCCAAGACCAUUUGGGAAACCCCAUGCCACAGCACCCAAGCUUAAUUUGGGACAACCUCGAGAUAACCUCGCAUGAUCUCUCAAAGCUCGAUGCACCUUUUGAUGAGGACGAGUUAAAAGAUGCGGUUUUCUCGCUACCCUCUGUCAAAGCACCUGGCCUAGACGGAUGUAGGAUCUCCCUUUACGCUGAUGAUGCGGGCAUCUUUGCGAACCUAGACAAGGAGGAGCUUCACGCGAUUUCGGUAAUCCUGAACACCUUUGGGGAGGCAAACAGACUGAUCACAAACUUGAGCAAGACCGAGGUCUUCCCGAUCAGAUGUGCUGGCAUUGACCCCCAAGAUGUGAUGUCGGUCUUCCCUGCCAAGAUUGCCACCUUCCAGGGAUGCUACUUGGGGCUCCCCCUGCAGUAUCGCCGCCUUAAAGGGGCAGAUCUGCAACCCUUCAUCGAUAGGUUCACAGGCAGGCUGCCAGGAUGGAAAGGAAAGCUUCUCAACAAGCCUGGCAGGGUGGCACUCGCCCAGUCUGUCCUCACGGCCAUGGCCACCUUCCACAUCACAACUCUCAAGUUGUUGAAGGGGACACUUAGAAAGAUCCACAACAUCAUUCGGGCCUUCAUCUGGCAAAAAGAGGACCAAUCUCAUACCUCGGGAGGAUACCCUAUGGGUAUGGGCAUGGGUACCAAUUUGCGCCCAUGGAUAGUGAAGUGGACUGGUGACGGUCCGCUCAAGCUUCUAGCUCUAGAGCUCUACAAGAUCACAUCAAGAAAGAACAAAUCGAUGCACAGUGAGCUCACGAACGAGAACUGGAUUGGGGCGGUGGCCAGACUACAGACCAUUCAGCAGCUAGGUGAAUUCAUGUCUCUCUCGAAUCACAUUAGUCAGAUCACCCUCCUCCCUAACAAAGAGGACACCAUUCACAGAAACUUAACCACCUCGGGGACAUACUCAGCCGCCUCUUCCUACGGUGCACAGUUCCUUGGCUCCUACUCAUGUUUCGGCACGACCAAGCCUGAAACAACAACUCACCUCUACAAAGACUGCCCCUUCACGGUCGCGGUCUGGAACCAGGUGAACACUUGGACUAGCGAAGGCGUUCCAAUCUCGGGCUUCCUCCCGGAGCCAGGAAACGUGUCAGACUGGAGGGACAACACUGAAUUCAUAGUCCAAUCAAGUGCACAAGAGGAGCAGUGGAAGAAUCAUCUACACGAUAUGGUCCAUAUGGAAGGAGCAAAAUAG
RNAcentral lists this ribosomal RNA (2181 nucleotides) under Triticum aestivum (bread wheat). Its description in RNAcentral is "partial small subunit ribosomal RNA". The record is from RNAcentral. Lineage: Eukaryota; Viridiplantae; Streptophyta; Magnoliopsida; Poales; Poaceae.